Molecule: long non-coding RNA, 225 nt
Filed under: Coffea arabica (coffee)
Lineage: Eukaryota; Viridiplantae; Streptophyta; Magnoliopsida; Gentianales; Rubiaceae
Description: long non-coding RNA (CARA_LNC007688)
Source: RNAcentral
UCGGCUGAAACUAAUCAGUGAUGAAACUACCAAAGCUUCCCUUCCUAACCUUCACCUUAGCUCUCAGUUUUGGUCAGCUAAAGAAUGUGGAAAUGGGGAGUCAUCCGGCUGCUCCUUCCCCCUUCCGAUCGUCACGUUAAAAGGCCCUGAGUUCUCUUCUUCUUCUUUGUUUUUUUCUUACACCCUUACUCACCGUUUGUGGCUGUACAGAAAUCAGGAAUACUC